This is a small nucleolar RNA of Amblyraja radiata (thorny skate), 87 nucleotides long. RefSeq annotates it as small nucleolar RNA SNORD35. The transcript has a single exon. NCBI's taxonomy places the organism in Eukaryota, Metazoa, Chordata, Chondrichthyes, Rajiformes, Rajidae. The record is from RefSeq and is a predicted model, not a curated record.
AGCAGAUGAUGGUAUUUCUCACGAUGGUCUUCCGAGUCUCACCGAGAUGCUGAAGACACAGCCUAAUGGCUUUACUGAUGCGGCCCC